GGUUGGAGAGAUGGCUCAGUGGUUAAGAGCACUGACUGCUCUUCCAGAGGUCCUGAGUUCAAAUCCCAGCAACCA
Molecule: transfer RNA, 75 nt
Filed under: Mus musculus (house mouse)
Lineage: Eukaryota; Metazoa; Chordata; Mammalia; Rodentia; Muridae
Description: tRNA-Ser
Source: RNAcentral